AAAAGUUAAAGUCUAUAAGAUCACAACCCUUCAGAAAAGAAAGAAAAAAACCUAUACAAUCGAUCCAUCAUCGUUCAUCACAAAAACAUAACUAGAAAUUAAGCCUAUGACAACGAUAAUUAUAAUAAUUAAUCGUGCCAACAUAGAAGCAAGACUGUACAUCUCCAAAUAAUAUAAAGUCUCGCCCUUUGUUGUCUAACUUGCUUUGAACAUCCUUGCCAUUUCCUCAUUUUCGAACUCCUUAACGAUGACAUUGAACUUGCAAGAGU
This 269-nucleotide unclassified non-coding RNA is filed under the name Hevea brasiliensis (rubber tree). Lineage: Eukaryota; Viridiplantae; Streptophyta; Magnoliopsida; Malpighiales; Euphorbiaceae. The record is from RNAcentral.